AUUGAACGCUGGCGGCAGGCCUAACACAUGCAAGUCGAGCGGAUGACGGUAGCUUGCUCCUGGUUUCAGCGGCGGACGGGUGCGUAAUGCCUAGGAAUCUGCCUGGUAGUGGGGGAUAACGUCCGGAAACGGGCGCUAAUACCGCAUACGUCCUGAGGGCGAACGUGGGGGUUCUUCGGACCUCACGCUAUCCGAUGAGUCUAGGUCGGAUUAGCUAGUUGGGGGGGUAAAGGCCUACCAAGGCGACGGUCCGUAACUGGUCUGAGAGGAUGAUCAGUCACACGGGAACGGAGACACGCUCCGGACCCCUACGGGAGGAAGCAGGGGGGAAUAUUGGACAAGGGGCGAAAGCCUAAGCCAGCCAUGCCGCUUGUGUGAAGAAGGUCUUCGGAUGGUAAAGCACUUUAAGUGGGGAGGAAGGGCAGUAAGUUAAUACCUUGCUGUUUUGACGUUACCAACAGAAUAAGCACCGGCUAACUUCGUG
Molecule: ribosomal RNA, 484 nt
Filed under: uncultured bacterium
Lineage: Bacteria
Description: partial 16S ribosomal RNA
Rfam family: Bacterial small subunit ribosomal RNA
Source: RNAcentral